This is a long non-coding RNA of Triticum dicoccoides, 1514 nucleotides long. RefSeq lists it as uncharacterized. The transcript is spliced from 3 exons. Lineage: Eukaryota; Viridiplantae; Streptophyta; Magnoliopsida; Poales; Poaceae. The record is from RefSeq and is a predicted model, not a curated record.
UUGGGUGAUUCUGCCUGAUGAGGUUAUCCAAGAUCGCUCCUGAGAAGGUGAAACUGGUGAACCACAAGGCCCUUGUCGACAGCUUCAGUAAGCCCACUUUCAGUAACAUCAAAACAAGAAAUAUACAGAUAGUAAUCCUUGACGGACAAUCUUAAUUGUAUUCUUUUGUAUUUUUUUGGUUACUACACUGCACCUGAGCUGUAUAGAAACAAAGUGUUCGACAUGAGUACGCAUACACAUUCGGCUUCAUCCUUUAUAAGGCUGGCCUUGUGUUCAGAUGGAAGUUUUGCACAAACAAUCUUUUCAUAUCCCAUUACGACCAUGGAGUUCUGUUGCAAGAAUACUUGACAAUGUUUUUUCCUUUAACUAUAGAGGUAGUAUCCCACAUUUAUUUUUCUUUUGUCUGCAUUAUCAAUAAGCUUCCAUGGUUAACGAUUUUUUUUCCUUCCACUAGAGAGGAAUGGAUCCGCAAGUUUUCUUUUUGUGGUGAUUUUGUUUUGGUGCGUUAUCAAUCAGAUUCCAUAGUAAUUAGUGGAGUUGAAGGGAUCCCGACGUUUCCAUUUUUGGUGCUAACCAAUCAGAUCUCCGGCUGGCAUAGUAGCUUAUGAGCACACGUACCCAGCAGCAUCAAAGGAGUACUCGGUUUCAGAGUUAAUUUCUGUAAGUCUGGCACACCUAAAUACUCAUUUGAUUCACUGCUGGGUGUUGAAUAAAAACUAGAAAAGGGAGGAGCAACUCAAGCGAAUAGAAGGUAGAGGAAUGAACAAGUAGGCAGGGAUUGGAGGCCGAUCCUCCAAGGCAACAUCAAGGUAAAGUCAUUAAACUGAAUUUGUGGCACCAAUGAAUAUAUGAACUGGCUUGUUAAGACCAACUUAUCUGAACUGAUGUGUGAAAAGCGGGACAGUGACGAAAUGCCAGGAACUCAAAUGGAAAGACAAUUGUAAAAUACAUUCCGAAACACUCACAUUGAUUUACACUUUUUAGAGCUAAUUCAAAAUUAAUCCUUCUGAAUGUGGCGAAAACACGCUUUACUUCACACUACAUUUUACUGAAGAGGCUCAUGAUCAACAUGUUGGGACCGUGAGUACACAGUGGAAAGGAAAGGCAAAGGUUGGUGAUCGACAUGCCAGAACAACAACAGAUCUGGUUACUUUACAAUCAAGGAUGGUGUUCUUUGAUAUCAGGGUCGACAUUGCAAUCAUGAAGCCGUUCUAUUUGCUUAUCAAAUUCGGCGACAAGGAGAUAAAGGAUGUGAUGAAAAAGAGAGAUCUCCCUCACAAGGGAGGUUUCCCCAAGGUUAUGCAGGUCAUUCAAGGGAAGCAGUAAGCUGUAACAAUACGGGCCAACUCGUGGAGACUAUGAGCAUCAACAUGCUAAAUGGAGGAACUGAAAAGGGAGAGGGAAGGGAGAUUUAUAGAAGAAGAGAGAGAAUCAGUUCUAUUACUGUAUGGAUGGAAACCUCACGCCAUCUUGUCCAACACAUUUCUGCAUUGCAACAAUUAUUUGAUUGCUAA